UACGGAGGGUGCAAGCGUUAUCCGGAUUUACUGGGUUUAAAGGGUGCGUAGGUGGGUCUGUAAGUCAGUGGUGAAAUCUCCGAGCUUAACUCGGAAACUGCCAUUGAUACUAUAGGUCUUGAAUUAUCUGGAGGUGAGCGGAAUAUGUCAUGUAGCGGUGAAAUGCUUAGAUAUGACAUAGAACACCAAUUGCGAAGGCAGCUCACUACGGAUAUAUUGACACUGAGGCACGAAAGCGUGGGGAUCAAACAGG
RNAcentral lists this ribosomal RNA (253 nucleotides) under uncultured bacterium. RNAcentral's name for it is "partial 16S ribosomal RNA". It matches the Rfam family "Bacterial small subunit ribosomal RNA", at positions 524 to 776 of the family's 1533-position model. The record is from RNAcentral.